CCCUCCACUCUCUCCUCCUAACCUCCUAAAGAUGUUCCUCUACCCUCCACUCUCUCCUCCUAACCUCCUAAAGAUGUUCCUCUACCCUCCACUCUCUCCUCCUAACCUCCUAAAGAUGUUCCUCUACCCUCCACUCUCUCCUCCUAACCUCCUAAAGUUGGUCCUCUCCCCUCCACUCUCUCCUCCUAAAGUUGUUCCUCUCCCCUCCACUCUCUCUCCUCCUAAAGUUGUUCCUCUACCCUCCACUCUCUCUCCUCCUAAAGUUGUUCCUCUCUCUCCUCCUAAAGUACAUAGUGCUUCUUUGAUGGCUUUAGGUCACUUGUGAAGAUCUGUUUCUGUCUCACUUGUUUCCGUUUCUUUUUUUUUUAUGUACAGUAGAUAUGUAUUAUAUAAACUGUAUUUACAUCAUUACUCUGAUACGACGACUACUAUUGCUUUACAUGAGCCGGACACUGCGUCACUACAUGUGGUUCCUUCAAUAAGUCAGUGUUAUGUCCAUGUCAGACACUGGUGCUCUGUUGUUGUUGUUGUUGUUGUUGUUGUAAUGCUAAAGGCGAAAAACUAACCAUUACAAGUCCCUUCUCACAAAACAUUGUCAACUUCCUCCCAGACUAUCCCAUUUUAAAAUAAAAUAGCCAUUUGGAUAAUGUGCAACUGUACUGGGAACAUGACCAGUGGUACAUGUCUAUUUCAGCCAGUCCCAGCCCCCUGGAGAUGGGAUGAGCUGGGAGGGGCUGGGAGGAGAUGGAAGGGGCUGGGAGGAGAUGGAAGGGGCUGGGAGGAGUUGGAAGGGGCUGGGAGGAGGUGGGAGGGGCUGGAAGGAGGUGGGAGGGGCUGGGAGGAGGUGGGAGGGGCUGGGAGGAGAUGGAAGGGGAUGGGAGGAGUUGGAAGGGGCUGGGAGGAGUUGGAAGGGGCUGGGAGGAGAUGGAAGGGGCUGGGAGGAGAUGGAAGGGGCUGGGAGGAGUUGGAAGGGGCUGGGAGGAGUUGGAAGGGGCUGGGAGGAGAUGGAAGGGGCUGGAAGGAGGUGGGAGGGGCUGGGAGGAGUUGCAAGGGGCUGGGAGGAGUUGGAAGGGGCUGGGAGGAGGUGAGUGUCUGGGAGGAGGUGGGAAUAGCUGGAAGGGGCUGGAAGGUGGG
This is a long non-coding RNA of Oncorhynchus tshawytscha (Chinook salmon), 1134 nucleotides long. Lineage: Eukaryota; Metazoa; Chordata; Actinopteri; Salmoniformes; Salmonidae. The record is from Ensembl.